UACGUAGGGCGCAAGCGUUGUCCGGAAUUAUUGGGCGUAAAGAGCUCGUAGGCGGUUUGUUGCGUCGGCUGUGAAAUCCCGAGACUCAACCUCGGGUCUGCAGUCGAUACGAGCAAACUAGAGUGUUGCAGGGGAGACUGGAAUUCCUGGUGUAGCGGUGAAAUGCGCAGAUAUCAGGAGGAACACCGGUGGCGAAGGCGGGUCUCUGGGCAACAACUGACGCUGAGGAGCGAAAGCGUGGGGAGCGAACAGG
Molecule: ribosomal RNA, 253 nt
Filed under: uncultured bacterium
Lineage: Bacteria
Description: partial 16S ribosomal RNA
Rfam family: Bacterial small subunit ribosomal RNA
Source: RNAcentral